AUUGAACGCUGGCGGCAGGCCUAACACAUGCAAGUCGAGCGGAUGAAGGGAGCUUGCUCCUGGAUUCAGCGGCGGACGGGUGAGUAAUUCCUAGGAAUCUGCCUGGUAGUGGGGUAUAACGUCCGGAAACGGGCGCUAAUACCGCAUACGUCCUGAGGGAGAAAGGGGGGGAGCUUCGGACCUCACGCUAUCAGAUGAGCCUAUGUCGGAUUAGCUAGUUGGUGGGGUAAAGGCCUACCAAGGCGACGAUCCGUAACUGGUCUGAGAGGAUGAUCAGUCACACUGGAACUGAGACACGGUCCAGACUCCUACGGGAGGCAGCAGUGGGGAAUAUUGGACAAUGGGCGCAAGCCUGAUCCAGCCAUGCCGCGUGUGUGAAGAAGGUCUUCGGGUUGUAAAGCCCUUUAAGUUGGGAAGAAGGGCAGUAAGUUAAUACCUUGCUGUUUUGACGUUACCAACAGAAUAAGCACCGGCUAACUUCGUG
RNAcentral lists this ribosomal RNA (484 nucleotides) under uncultured bacterium. Its description in RNAcentral is "partial 16S ribosomal RNA". It matches the Rfam family "Bacterial small subunit ribosomal RNA", at positions 30 to 507 of the family's 1533-position model. The record is from RNAcentral.